Molecule: ribosomal RNA, 249 nt
Filed under: uncultured Actinomycetales bacterium
Lineage: Bacteria; Bacillati; Actinomycetota; Actinomycetes; Actinomycetales
Description: partial 16S ribosomal RNA
Rfam family: Bacterial small subunit ribosomal RNA
Source: RNAcentral
GGGGUGCUCGAGUGGCGAACGGGUGAGUAACACGUGAGUAACCUGCCCUUGACUUUGGGAUAACUUCAGGAAACUGGGGCUAAUACCGGAUAGGAGCUCCUGCUGCAUGGUGGGGGUUGGAAAGUUUCGGCGGUUGGGGAUGGACUCGCGGCUUAUCAGCUUGUUGGUGGGGUAGUGGCUUACCAAGGCGGCGACGGGUAGCCGGCCUGAGAGGGUGUACGGCCACAUUGGGACUGAGAUACGGCCCAG